This 174-nucleotide non-coding RNA is filed under the name metagenome. The record is from RNAcentral.
GACGCUCGACAGGCACGAGGUGCCCUCGAGACCACGCCGUCGCAACGACGUGGCCGACAGGGAGAAUCUGGGAAGCCGGUGAGAUUCCGGCACAGGGCCCGCUGCGGUGACCUGGACGACCCUUGCGGGUGGAUCCAGGAAGUCCGAAGACCGGCCUCGCGCCACAUCGUUGAU